AGUGAACGCUGGCGGCGUGCCUAAUACAUGCAAGUCGAACGGAGUGGCGCACGGGUGAGUAAUAUAUAGCUAAUCUGCCCCUUGCUGGAGGACAACAGUUAGAAAUGACUGCUAAUACUCCAUAGCAAGGGAUGAGACUAUAUCGUAUCAGCUAGUCGGUGGGGUAACGGCCUACCGAGGCGAUGACGCGUAACUGGUCUGAGAGGAUGAUCAGUCACAUUGGAACGGAGACACCGGCCAGACUCCUACGAGAGGGAGCAGUAGGGAGUAUUGGCCAAUGCGCGAAACCCUGGCGCAUCAACGCCUCGUAGAGGAUGACACUUUUCGGAGAAAAAACUCCUUUUAAUAGGGAAGCGGUACCUAACGAAUAAGCACCGGCUAACUACGUGCCAGCAGCCGCGGUAAUAC
Molecule: ribosomal RNA, 408 nt
Filed under: uncultured bacterium
Lineage: Bacteria
Description: partial 16S ribosomal RNA
Rfam family: Bacterial small subunit ribosomal RNA
Source: RNAcentral